This 247-nucleotide ribosomal RNA is filed under the name uncultured bacterium. RNAcentral's name for it is "partial 16S ribosomal RNA". It matches the Rfam family "Bacterial small subunit ribosomal RNA", at positions 523 to 769 of the family's 1533-position model. The record is from RNAcentral.
AUACGUAGGGUGCAAGCGUUAAUCGGAAUUACUGGGCGUAAAGCGUGUGUAGGCGGUUCGGAAAGAAAGAUGUGAAAUCCCAGGGCUUAACCUUGGAACUGCAUUUUUAACUGCCGAGCUAGAGUAUGUCAGAGGGGGGUAGAAUUCCACGUGUAGCAGUGAAAUGCGUAGAUAUGUGGAGGAAUACCGAUGGCGAAGGCAGCUCACUAAACUAUAACUGACGCUCAUGCACGAAAGCGUGGGGAUC